RNAcentral lists this ribosomal RNA (264 nucleotides) under uncultured archaeon. Its description in RNAcentral is "partial 16S ribosomal RNA". It matches the Rfam family "Archaeal small subunit ribosomal RNA", at positions 717 to 982 of the family's 1478-position model. The record is from RNAcentral.
ACACGACUACAUUAGAUACCCCGGUAGUCCCAGCCCUAAACGAUGCGCGUUAGGUGUAUCGGUGACCACGAGUCACCGAGGUGCCGAAGGGAAACCGUGAAACGUGCCGCCUGGGAAGUGCGGUCGCAAGGCUGAAACUUAAAGGAAUUGGCGGGGAGCACCACAACGGGUGGAGCCUGCGGUUUAAUUGGACUCAAUGCCGGGAAGCUCACCGGAUAAGACAGCGGAAUGAUUGCCGGGCUGAAGACCCUGCAUGACCAGCUG